This is a non-coding RNA of Cyprinus carpio (common carp), 516 nucleotides long. The record is from the annotation of a RefSeq genome assembly. Lineage: Eukaryota; Metazoa; Chordata; Actinopteri; Cypriniformes; Cyprinidae.
AAACUGUGUAUCUCUACUGUCUUCAGGUAAAUGAUGUGGAGUGUGUUUGCAUAUUGAUCAGAUGCUUCAGUGCUCUGAGAGUGUUUAUAGUGCUGUGAGUUUAACACUUCAUCACUGACACACACAACAAUCUUCAUCAACAUGACCUUCAUCAUCAUCUUCAUCUGGACACUUUCAUACUGCUUCAUACUACAAGGGUGUAAAGCUCAGAUCACAGUCACUCAGACUCCUUCAGUGAAAACUGUCACACCAGGAGAAAAUGUAGUGAUGAGCUGUAAACUCAGUGAACCUUCACCCUGCAGCCCACCCUGUGUGUCCUGGUACUUACAGAAACCUGGAGAAACUCCUAAACUCCUGAUUUAUUUAACAAACACCCUCCAGUCAGGAACUCCAUCUAGAUUCAGUGGCAGUGGAUCUGGAACUGAUUUCACUCUGACCAUCAGUGGAGUCCAGACUGAAGAUGCUGGACAUUAUUACUGUCAGAGUGCACACAGUGGUCCAGUGCUCACACAGUGA